AUUGAAUGCUGGCGGCAGGCCUAACACAUGCAAGUCGAGCGGAUGAAGGGAGCUUGCUCCUGGAUUCAGCGGCGGACGGGUGAGUAAUGCCUAGGAAUCUGCCUGGUAGUGGGGGAUAACGUCCGGAAACGGGCGCUAAUACCGCAUACGUCCUGAGGGAGAAAGUGGGGGAUCUUCGGACCUCACGCUAUCAGAUGAGCCUAGGUCGGAUUAGCUAGUUGGUGGGGUAAAGGCCUACCAAGGCGACGAUCCGUAACUGGUCUGAGAGGAUGAUCAGUCACACUGAAACUGAGACACGGUCCAGACUCCUACGGAAGGCAGCAGUGGGGAAUAUUGGACAAUGGGCGAAAGCCUGAUCCAGCCAUGCCGCGUGUGUGAAGAAGGUCUUCGGAUUGUAAAGCACUUUAAGUUGGGAGGAAGGGCAGUAAGUUAAUACCUUGCUGUUUUGACGUUACCAACAGAAUAAGCACCGGCUAACUUCGU
This 483-nucleotide ribosomal RNA is filed under the name uncultured bacterium. RNAcentral describes it as "partial 16S ribosomal RNA". It matches the Rfam family "Bacterial small subunit ribosomal RNA", at positions 30 to 506 of the family's 1533-position model. The record is from RNAcentral.